AGUGAACGCUGGCGGCAGGCCUAACACAUGCAAGUCGAGCGGCCGUAGCAAUACGGCAGCGGCAGACGGGAGAGUAACACGUGGGAACGUAACCUUUGGUUCGGAACAACCCAGGGAAACUUGGACUAAUACCGGAUACGCCCGGAAGGAGAAAGAUUUAUCGCAGAAGGAUCGGCCCGCGUCCGAUUAGCUAGUUGGUGGGGUAAUGGCCCACCAAGGCGACGAUCGGUAGCUGGUCUGAGAGGAUGAUCAGCCUCACUGGGACUGAGACACGGCCCAGACUCCUACGGGAGGCAGCAGUGGGGAAUAUUGGACAAUGGGCGCAAGCCUGAUCCAGCCAUGCCGCGUGGGUGAUGAAGGCCCUAGGGUUGUAAAGCCCUUUCGGCGGGGAAGAUAAUGACGGUACCCGCAGAAGAAGCCCCGGCUAACUUCGUGCCAGCCGCCGCCGUAA
This 451-nucleotide ribosomal RNA is filed under the name uncultured bacterium. RNAcentral's name for it is "partial 16S ribosomal RNA". It matches the Rfam family "Bacterial small subunit ribosomal RNA", at positions 29 to 523 of the family's 1533-position model. The record is from RNAcentral.